This 1293-nucleotide long non-coding RNA is filed under the name Homo sapiens (human). RNAcentral describes it as "HSALNT0045035". The record is from RNAcentral. Lineage: Eukaryota; Metazoa; Chordata; Mammalia; Primates; Hominidae.
GGGAAUAGAGACUCACAGGCUGGAUGAAGAAAACUGCCUGGGGAAGGGGAUCCCUCCUCCAGGCAGUGCUGGCAAGAGGCUCCCUAUGAUGGCACCUACUGUGGAUGAGGUACAGGGUUUUUAGACUCACAGCAGCUCCAAGGGCCUUUCCCUCUCCUUCGUUUUACAGUUUCAACAAGAACGAAGAAGGAAGCUGUUCGGCUUAAGCCAGAACAUCGCAUGUUGUGGGAGCAGCGGCUCAAGGAGGAGCAGAUGCAGAAGCCCAGGUAGCAGAGUGCAGCUGCCACCCACAGCCAGCCCUGCCUCUGACAGGGGAUACAGCCUGCUGGCGUGAAUGGUCCAUGCCACCAUGCCAUGUGAGGGACAAGGAGACUCCUCCUCAACUGUGAAAAACUCAACACACCACAUUCACAUAUGCGACACACAUUUUAUUUUUGCCUCUAUAAUUUUCCUGUCAUUUUACUUUAUUUUUAUUUGAAUUGUUUAAUUUUGUCACACAAAAUGUGAAAUUAUGUCACCCAAAAGGAAGAAGCAGUGUCUGUCAACAGAUAAAUGGAUAAACAAAAUCUGUUUGUACAUAUACAUUCAAUGUUAUAUUAUUCAGCCUUAAGAAGGAAGGAAAUUCUAACACAUGAUACAACGUGGAUGAACUUUGAGGAUAUUAUGCUAAGUGAAUAAAACAGUCACAAAAGGGCAAAUAUAGUAUGAUUCCACUUAUUCAAGAUAUGCAGAGUAGUUGAAUUCAUACAGACAGAAAGUAGAAUGGUUGUUGCCAGGGUAGCUCCACAUGGCCAGGGAGGCCUCACAAUCAUGGUGGAAGGCAAGGAGGAGCACAUCACAUCUUACAUGGAGACAGCAGGCAAAGAGAGCUUAUGCAGGGAAACUUCCGCUUUUAAAAACCAUCAGAUCUCAUGAGACUCACUCACUAUCAUGAGAACAGCACAGGGAAGACCCGCCCUCGUGAUUUAAUUAUCCCCCACCGGGUCCCUCCCACAACACGUGAGAAUUAUGGGAGCUACAAGAUGAGAGUUGGGUGGGGACACACAGCCAAACCAUAUCAGGGAGAUAGUGCUUAAUGGAUACAGAGAUUUAGUUUAGGAAGAUGAAAGAAGUUCUGGAGAUGGAUUAUAGUGAUAGUGUACAACAAUGUGAAUGUGCUUUAAUACUACUGAACUGUACACUUAAAAUGGUUAAAAUAGUAAAUUUCACAUUAUAUAUAUUUUACCACAGAAAAAAGGAGUUUUUAAUGUUUGGUUAUGAAAUAUUUUAAUCAUACAGAAAAAUACAUAUCAG